UACGGGGGGGGCAAGCGUUGUUCGGAAUUACUGGGCGUAAAGGGCUCGUAGGUGGCCAACUAAGUCAGACGUGAAAUCCCUCAGCUUAACUGGGGAACUGCGUCUGAUACUGGAUGGCUUGAGUUUGGGAGAGGGAUGCGGAAUUCCAGGUGUAGCGGUGGAAUGCGUAGAUAUCUGGAGGAACACCGGUGGCGAAGGCGGCUCUCUGGGACGGUACUGACGCUGAGACGCGAAAGCGUGGGGAGCAAACAGG
RNAcentral lists this ribosomal RNA (253 nucleotides) under uncultured bacterium. Its description in RNAcentral is "partial 16S ribosomal RNA". It matches the Rfam family "Bacterial small subunit ribosomal RNA", at positions 524 to 776 of the family's 1533-position model. The record is from RNAcentral.